This 1347-nucleotide ribosomal RNA is filed under the name uncultured bacterium. RNAcentral describes it as "bacterial SSU rRNA". It matches the Rfam family "Bacterial small subunit ribosomal RNA", at positions 43 to 1397 of the family's 1533-position model. The record is from RNAcentral.
CAGGCCUAACACAUGCAAGUCGAACGGAAAGGCCCUGCUUUUGUGGGGUGCUCGAGUGGCGAACGGGUGAGUAACACGUGAGUAACCUGCCCUUGACUUUGGGAUAACUUCAGGAAACUGGGGCUAAUACCGGAUAGGAGCUCCUGCUGCAUGGUGGGGGUUGGAAAGUUUCGGCGGUUGGGGAUGGACUCGCGGCUUAUCAGUUUGUUGGUGGGGUAGUGGCUUACCAAGGCUUUGACGGGUAGCCGGCCUGAGAGGGUGACCGGCCACAUUGGGACUGAGAUACGGCCCAGACUCCUACGGGAGGCAGCAGUGGGGAAUAUUGCACAAUGGGCGGAAGCCUGAUGCAGCAACGCCGCGUGCGGGAUGACGGCCUUCGGGUUGUAAACCGCUUUCGCCUGUGACGAAGCGUGAGUGACGGUAAUGGGUAAAGAAGCACCGGCUAACUACGUGCCAGCAGCCGCGGUGAUACGUAGGGUGCGAGCGUUGUCCGGAUUUAUUGGGCGUAAAGGGCUCGUAGGUGGUUGAUCGCGUCGGAAGUGUAAUCUUGGGGCUUAACCCUGAGCGUGCUUUCGAUACGGGUUGACUUGAGGAAGGUAGGGGAGAAUGGAAUUCCUGGUGGAGCGGUGGAAUGCGCAGAUAUCAGGAGGAACACCAGUGGCGAAGGCGGUUCUCUGGGCCUUUCCUGACGCUGAGGAGCGAAAGCGUGGGGAGCGAACAGGCUUAGAUACCCUGGUAGUCCACGCUGUAAACGGUGGGUACUAGGUGUGGGGUCCAUUCCACGGGUUCCGUGCCGUAGCUAACGCUUUAAGUACCCCGCCUGGGGAGUACGGCCGCAAGGCUAAAACUCAAAGGAAUUGACGGGGCCCCGCACAAGCGGCGGAGCAUGCGGAUUAAUUCGAUGCAACGCGUAGAACCUUACCUGGGUUUGACAUGGAUCGGGAGUGCUCAGAGAUGGGUGUGCCUCUUUUGGGGUCGGUUCACAGGUGGUGCAUGGCUGUCGUCAGCUCGUGUCGUGAGAUGUUGGGUUAAGUCCCGCAACGAGCGCAACCCUUGUUCACUGUUGCCAGCACGUUAUGGUGGGGACUCAGUGGAGACCGCCGGGGUCAACUCGGAGGAAGGUGGGGAUGACGUCAAGUCAUCAUGCCCCUUAUGUCCAGGGCUUCACGCAUGCUACAAUGGCUGGUACAGAGAGUGGCGAGCCUGUGAGGGUGAGCGAAUCUCGGAAAGCCGGUCUCAGUUCGGAUUGGGGUCUGCAACUCGACCUCAUGAAGUCGGAGUCGCUAGUAAUCGCAGAUCAGCAACGCUGCGGUGAAUACGUUCCCGGGGCUUGUACACACCGCCCGU